RNAcentral lists this long non-coding RNA (885 nucleotides) under Calidris pugnax (ruff). RNAcentral describes it as "lncRNA (ENSCPUG00000015036.1)". The record is from RNAcentral. Lineage: Eukaryota; Metazoa; Chordata; Aves; Charadriiformes; Scolopacidae.
UUUUUGAUUUUAUUGAUUUCCUUACUUUUUUUUUUUUUUUAAAUGCAACAGUAAACCAUUGGCUUAGCUAAUAUUUUUCACAUUUUGUCCAACAGGGUAACAGAGGUCCACCUGGUGUGCCAGGUUUGAUGGGAAAUUCUGGUAAACCGGUAAGAUCAUUGAUCUUAUUCAAAAAAUCUAGAAAAAUGAAAAGUUUUGCAUUGGACAAGAAAUGAUUUUUCAAAUUUGUUGUGUUCUUCCUAUCCUGAAAAUAGGGUGAACGGGGGCCAGAGGGAGAAGCAGGUCCGACAGGACCCCGGGGGCCACCAGGCAGCAGAGGGGAGCCAGGUCCUUCAGGUCCUCCAGGUUUACCAGGGAAAUUGGUAAGCAGUUUAUUUCCAUAUUCAGUGCUUGUAUUUACUUUCAAGAAGCUAUGGUAUCAUCUGGAACUACACUUACCCAUUUAUCUGUGCAGGGAACUGAAAAUAAUGUUGAAACGAGUGACUGUUGAGUUUCUUUUUCAGUCCUCUGUGACUGUGCUAAUAUUAGCAAAUGCUGUUUUAAAGUAUAUGGAGAUGUGUGGGACUUUUUCUUCGGUUUAAAAAACCAUAAAUCCUGUGAUGUGCAAAGUUGGGUUGCACACUCUUGUGUGGACUGUGUGUACUGGGGGAAUGGGAGCAGUGAAAGACCAGCUUUCUGCUAACAGCUGCAUGAAACUAAUGAAUGGAGAGGAUUAUGAAUACCACCUUUUACCAGAGCUCUAGCAGUGUUUACACAGUAACAGUCAGAAACAUCGCUGGCUGAAAGAACCUGCUGUUACAGAGGAAUGCACAAAUCAUAGAGCACAAGGUCUUAGGAGGUAUUUUUAAGAGAACCAGACUGUCGUUGAGGGACUGGAGGGUAGAU